RNAcentral lists this ribosomal RNA (432 nucleotides) under uncultured bacterium. Its description in RNAcentral is "bacterial SSU rRNA". It matches the Rfam family "Bacterial small subunit ribosomal RNA", at positions 354 to 796 of the family's 1533-position model. The record is from RNAcentral.
GUGGGGAAUCUUGCGCAAUGGGCGAAAGCCUGACGCAGCGACGCCGCGUGGGGGACGAAGGCCCUCGGGUUGUAAACCCCUUUCGGCAGGGACGAAGCGGUUCCGUGACGGUACCUGCAGAAGAAGCCUCGGCUAACUACGUGCCAGCAGCCGCGGUAAGACGUAGGAGGCGAGCGUUGUCCGGAUUCAUUGGGCGUAAAGAGCACGCAGGCGGUUUGGCAAGUCGGAUGUGAAAACCAGAAGCUCAACUUCUGGCCUGCAUCCGAAACUGCCCGACUAGAGGUAGGUAGGGGAGAUCGGAAUUCCUGGUGUAGCGGUGAAAUGCGCAGAUAUCAGGAGGAACACCGGUGGCGAAGGCGGAUCUCUGGGCCUUACCUGACGCUCAGGUGCGAAAGCUAGGGGAGCAAACAGGAUUAGAUACCCGGGUAGUCC